RNAcentral lists this ribosomal RNA (492 nucleotides) under uncultured bacterium. Its description in RNAcentral is "partial 16S ribosomal RNA". It matches the Rfam family "Bacterial small subunit ribosomal RNA", at positions 29 to 507 of the family's 1533-position model. The record is from RNAcentral.
AGUGAACGCUGGCGGUAGGCCUAACACAUGCAAGUCGAACGGCAGCACAGUAAGAGCUUGCUCUUACGGGUGGCGAGUGGCGGACGGGUGAGGAAUACAUCGGAAUCUACUUUUUCGUGGGGGAUAACGUAGGGAAACUUACGCUAAUACCGCAUACGACCUACGGGUGAAAGCAGGGGAUCUUCGGACCUUGCGCGAUUGAAUGAGCCGAUGUCGGAUUAGCUAGUUGGCGGGGUAAAGGCCCACCAAGGCGACGAUCCGUAGCUGGUCUGAGAGGAUGAUCAGCCACACUGGAACUGAGACACGGUCCAGACUCCUACGGGAGGCAGCAGUGGGGAAUAUUGGACAAUGGGCGCAAGCCUGAUCCAGCCAUACCGCGUGGGUGAAGAGGGCCUUCGGGUUGUAAGGCCCUUUUGUUGGGAAAGAAAAGCAGCAGGUUAAUACCCCGCUGUUCUGACGGUACCCAAAGAAUAAGCACCGGCUAACUUCGUG